Molecule: long non-coding RNA, 311 nt
Organism: Polyodon spathula (Mississippi paddlefish)
Lineage: Eukaryota; Metazoa; Chordata; Actinopteri; Acipenseriformes; Polyodontidae
Exons: 3
Source: RefSeq, a predicted model, not a curated record
UGUAGCUUGUCUGUCUGAAAUGCCAUGUUGAAAACUCGGGGAUCGGGUCUGCAAUCCGUAGGAGAGCCAUCGUCGCCGUGCAGUCGUACAGCUGGGAUUGAUGACGGUGGUCGGAGAAACUACUCCCCAGCCCUGGCUGGAGGCAUCCGUAGUGACAACUUCCAUUCUGUGAGGGGAGCCGAGGGGAGAUCAGAGGCGCAAAUUGCCGGGACAGAGCCACCACUCCUCUGGCAUUGUCUGGAUCAGCGGGUAUGGAUCACAGAUCGGGUGCAACUUGAAUGUAUUUACCCAGGCUUGAAGCAGGCACAUUC